AUUGAACGCUGGCGGUAGGCCUAACACAUGCAAGUCGAACGGUAACGGACCGCUGGGAUUCCUUCGGGAUGACCUUGGUGCCGACGAGUGGCGGACGGGUGAGUAACACGUAGGAAUCUGCCCAACAGAGGGGGACAACCCGGAGAAAUCCGGGCUAAUACCGCAUACGCCCUAUUGGGGAAAGCGGGGGAUCUUCGGACCUCGCGCUGUUGGAGGAGCCUGCGUCGGAUUAGCUUGUUGGUGAGGUAAUGGCUCACCAAGGCUACGAUCCGUAGCUGGUCUGAGAGGAUGAUCAGCCACACUGGGACUGAGACACGGCCCAG
Molecule: ribosomal RNA, 323 nt
Filed under: uncultured bacterium
Lineage: Bacteria
Description: bacterial SSU rRNA
Rfam family: Bacterial small subunit ribosomal RNA
Source: RNAcentral